RNAcentral lists this ribosomal RNA (1186 nucleotides) under Streptomyces sp. SID8377. Its description in RNAcentral is "partial 23S ribosomal RNA". It matches the Rfam family "Bacterial large subunit ribosomal RNA", at positions 698 to 1769 of the family's 2925-position model. Lineage: Bacteria; Bacillati; Actinomycetota; Actinomycetes; Kitasatosporales; Streptomycetaceae. The record is from RNAcentral.
AGUCGCAUGCCCAAGACCCGAAGCGGAGUGAUCUAGCCAUGGGCAGGUUGAAGCGUGGGUAAGACCGCGUGGAGGACCGAACCCACCAGGGUUGAAAACCUGGGGGAUGACCUGUGGUUAGGGGUGAAAGGCCAAUCAAACUCCGUGAUAGCUGGUUCUCCCCGAAAUGCAUUUAGGUGCAGCGUCGUGUGUUUCUUGCCGGAGGUAGAGCACUGGAUAGGCGAUGGGCCCUACCGGGUUACUGACCUUAGCCAAACUCCGAAUGCCGGUAAGUGAGAGCGCGGCAGUGAGACUGCGGGGGAUAAGCUCCGUGGUCGAGAGGGAAACAGCCCAGAGCAUCGACUAAGGCCCCUAAGCGUACGCUAAGUGGGAAAGGAUGUGGAGUCGCACAGACAACCAGGAGGUUGGCUUAGAAGCAGCCACCCUUGAAAGAGUGCGUAAUAGCUCACUGGUCAAGUGAUUCCGCGCCGACAAUGUAGCGGGGCUCAAGCGUACCGCCGAAGUCGUGUCAUUGCAGCAUUACUCCCAACGGAGGCUGUGAUGGGUAGGGGAGCGUCGUGUGCCGGGUGAAGCGGCCCUGGAAGGGAGUCGUGGACGGUUCACGAGUGAGAAUGCAGGCAUGAGUAGCGAUACAAGAGUGGGAAACUCUUGCGCCGAUUGACUAAGGGUUCCUGGGUCAAGCUGAUCUGCCCAGGGUAAGUCGGGACCUAAGGCGAGGCCGACAGGCGUAGUCGAUGGACAACCGGUUGAUAUUCCGGUACCCGCUUUGAAGCGCCAGCGCUGAACCCUCUGAUGCUAAGCCCGUGAAGCCGCCCUUGAUCUCUUCGGAGUGAUGGGGAGUGGUGGAGCCGGUGACCCGAGGUGGUAGUAGGUGAGCGAUGGGGUGACGCAGGAAGGUAGUCCAGCCCGGGCGGUGGUUGUCCCGGGGUAAGGGUGUAGGCCGAGUGGUAGGCAAAUCCGCCACUCAUGGAGGCUGAGACCUGAUGCCGAGCCGAUUGUGGUGAAGUGGAUGAUCCUAUGCUGUCGAGAAAAGCCUCUAGCGAGUUUCAUGGCGGCCCGUACCCUAAACCGACUCAGGUGGUCAGGUAGAGAAUACCGAGGCGUUCGGGUGAACUAUGGUUAAGGAACUCGGCAAAAUGCCCCCGUAACUUCGGGAGAAGGGGGGCCAUUGCUGGUGAGGGGAUUU